UUUUUGAACUGCUCAGACGACGCUGCGGCGUGCUAUACAUGCAAGUCGAGCGGACAGAUGGGAGCUUGCUCCUGAUGUAGCGGCGGACGGGUGAGUAACACGUGGGUAACCUGCCUGUAAGACUGGGAUAACUCCGGGAAACCGGGGCUAAUACCGGGAUGGUUGUUUGAACCGCAUGGUUCAAACAUAAAAGGUGGCUUCGGCUACCACUUACAGAUGGACCCGCGGCGCAUUAGCUAGUUGGUGAGGUAACGGCUCACCAAGGCAACGAUGCGUAGCCGACCUGAGAGGGUGAUCGGCCACACUGGGACUGAGACACGGCCCAGACUCCUACGGGAGGCAGCAGUAGGGAAUCUUCCGCAAUGGACGAAAGUCUGACGGAGCAACGCCGCGUGAGUGAUGAAGGUUUUCGGAUCGUAAAGCUCUGUUGUUAGGGAAGAACAAGUACCGUUCGAAUAGGGCGGUACCUUGACGGUACCUAACCAGAAAGCCACGGCUAACUACGUGCCAGCAGCCGCGGUAAUACGUAGGUGGCAAGCGUUGUCCGGAAUUAUUGGGCGUAAAGGGCUCGCAGGCGGUUUCUUAAGUCUGAUGUGAAAGCCCCCGGCUCAACCGGGGAGGGUCAUUGGAAACUGGGGAACUUGAGUGCAGAAGAGGAGAGUGGAAUUCCACGUGUAGCGGUGAAAUGCGUAGAGAUGUGGAGGAACACCAGUGGCGAAGGCGACUCUCUGGUCUGUAACUGACGCUGAGGAGCGAAAGCGUGGGGAGCGAACAGGAUUAGAUACCCUGGUAGUCCACGCCGUAAACGAUGAGUGCUAAGUGUUAGGGGGUUUCCGCCCCUUAGUGCUGCAGCUAACGCAUAAGCACUCCGCUGGGAGAU
This 880-nucleotide ribosomal RNA is filed under the name Bacillus subtilis. RNAcentral's name for it is "bacterial SSU rRNA". It matches the Rfam family "Bacterial small subunit ribosomal RNA", at positions 1 to 880 of the family's 1533-position model. Lineage: Bacteria; Bacillati; Bacillota; Bacilli; Caryophanales; Bacillaceae. The record is from RNAcentral.